UGUAUUGCAAUUGAUUAGAGAGAGUUGAAGAAAUGAUACAUUCUACAAUGAUUCUAUUUGGUCCCCUCUAAAGUUAAAAAGUUCUACAUAAUUGUUAUUAGACGAACUUUGCUUUGUGACAUUGAGUAUUGGAAUAUCAAACCACAGCAGAAAUGAAGAUGCUAGCAUAGGAUAGAAUAAGAAUUCGGAAUAUUUGGCCACAAGUGUAGCAACAGGAAUUGAGAAUCAAUGACGGGAAUGAAGAAUUUGUUUUUUGAGACAAGUUGCAUAGACCUAAAAAAGAUUCGAUUCACAACAAUGUGCAAUCACAUAAUAAAUAAGUUAGAGAGAAAAAAAAUCACUUCUUGAUUUCAUUGGGUAAUUCAGUAAAUUUAGUGAUGCAUCAAAUGAAAAGGUGAAAAACAUUUAUGUGGCCAUCCCCAAACCUUGUUGAGCAUAAGGAUUAGUGUUUUUGUUGUUGAUAGUUUGCAUAGAAUAUUGUUCAAAAAGUAGCAGAUAUAUUAUCUUGAUUUUUAAUCUAAUCUAUUUCUCUAUUCAGAUUUUCCAGUUCCAUCAGAAAACAGCUUGUCCGUUGGCAUUAUAAUUGGGAUAGUGAUUGCUGUUCUAUUUAUAGUCUUGCUGGUUCUGAGUAUUUUUUGGUGGAAGGGCUGCUUCAGACCAAAAGAUACUCUAGAACAAGAUCUAAAGGGUCUAGGCCAACACACUGGAAUAUUUACUCUAAGGCAAAUUAGAGCUGCCACAAACAAUUUUGAUCCUGCCAAUAAAAUCGGAGAAGGUGGUUUUGGUCCUGUGUACAAGGGCCGUUUGUCAAAUGGAACCAUCAUUGCCGUGAAGCAGCUUUCUUCCAAAUCAAAGCAAGGGAACCGUGAAUUCGUGAAUGAAAUAGGCAUGAUUUCUGCCCUACAACACCCUCAUCUCGUAAAGCUAUAUGGAUGCUGUAUUGAAGGCAACCAGCUGUUGCUUAUCUAUGAGUACAUGGAGAACAACAGCCUUGCACGUGCUUUAUUCAGUAAAGAAAAAUUCCAAUUAAU
This is a long non-coding RNA of Olea europaea var. sylvestris, 1031 nucleotides long. RefSeq lists it as uncharacterized. Lineage: Eukaryota; Viridiplantae; Streptophyta; Magnoliopsida; Lamiales; Oleaceae. The transcript has 5 exons. The record is from RefSeq and is a predicted model, not a curated record.